RNAcentral lists this ribosomal RNA (253 nucleotides) under uncultured bacterium. RNAcentral's name for it is "partial 16S ribosomal RNA". It matches the Rfam family "Bacterial small subunit ribosomal RNA", at positions 524 to 776 of the family's 1533-position model. The record is from RNAcentral.
UACGGGGGGAGCAAGCGUUGCUCGGAAUUACUGGGCGUAAAGCGCACGUAGGCUGAUUCGUAAGUCAGGGGUGAAAUCCCGGGGCUCAACCUCGGAACUGCCUUUGAUACUGCGGAUCUCGAGUCCGAUAGAGGUGGGUGGAAUUCCUAGUGUAGAGGUGAAAUUCGUAGAUAUUAGGAAGAACACCGGUGGCGAAGGCGGCCCACUGGAUCGGUACUGACGCUGAGGUGCGAAAGCGUGGGGAGCAAACAGG